CCUAGCUGUGUUGGCUUUCUAACCCGCACCACUUAUCGUGGUGGGAGACAGUGUCAGGCGGGCAGUUUGACUGGGGCGGUCGCCUCCUAAAAGGGAACGGAGGCGCUCAAAGGGUCCCUCAGAAUGGGUGGAAAUCAUUCAUAGAGGGUAAAGGCAUAAGGGAGCUUGACUGCGAGACCUACAAGUCGAGCAGGGUCGAAAGACGGACUUAGUGAUCCGGUG
This 222-nucleotide ribosomal RNA is filed under the name Staphylococcus aureus. Its description in RNAcentral is "partial 23S ribosomal RNA". It matches the Rfam family "Bacterial large subunit ribosomal RNA", at positions 2204 to 2425 of the family's 2925-position model. The record is from RNAcentral. Lineage: Bacteria; Bacillati; Bacillota; Bacilli; Caryophanales; Staphylococcaceae.